AUUGAACGCUGGCGGCAGGCUUAACACAUGCAAGUCGAGCGGGGUGAUGGUGCUUGCACUAUCACUUAGCGGCGGACGGGUGAGUAAUGCUUAGGAAUCUGCCUAUUAGUGGGGGAUAACAUCUCGAAAGGUAUGCUAAUACCGCAUACGUCCUACGGGAGAAAGCAGGGGAUCACUCGUGACCUUGCGCUAAUACAUGAGCCUAAGUCGGAUUAGCGAGUUGGUGGGGUAAAGGCCUACCAAGGCGACGAGCUGUAGCGGGUCUGAGAGGAUGAUCCGACACACUGGGACUGAGACACGGCCCAGACUCCUAGGGGAGGCAGCAGUGGGGAAUAUUGGACAAUGGGGGGAACCCUGAUCCAGCCAUGCCGCGUGUGUGAAGAAGGCCUUAUGGUUGUAAAGCACUUUAAGCGAGGAGGAGGCUCUUUUGGUUAACACCCAAGAUGAGUGGACGUUACUCGCAGAAUAAGCACCGGCUAACUCUGUGCCAGCCGCCGCGGUAA
Molecule: ribosomal RNA, 503 nt
Filed under: uncultured bacterium
Lineage: Bacteria
Description: partial 16S ribosomal RNA
Rfam family: Bacterial small subunit ribosomal RNA
Source: RNAcentral